CGGGGUGAACGAUGACGACGACGGGGCUGCGCAAAAACAGCAAACCACCGACGGGCAUCACGGCGUGCUACUCACUGCGCAACAAAACAACAAGCCGGCAGCGCGCGGAGCCGUCGGGGCUGCUGCACAUUUCGUCGAGCACCCUGCGCACAUCGGAAAGGAGCAAGGGAAGGGGCUUUGCGCAGGGCUUCUAUUUUUGGAUCGGAGGGCUGGGCGCAGGGACUUGGACACCGUGGCUACAGUCCGAGCAGGGGCUCCUUGCUGCCGCACUAGGGAUAAAGAGGAAGGGGCGAGCAGCAGUAGGGGAGGGAGGCUGGCUGGGAGGAAGAUGAACAGGGAGGGCACUGGAAAAAUUUUCUGGGCGUCCAUGGGAGCGGC
Molecule: unclassified non-coding RNA, 378 nt
Filed under: Zea mays
Lineage: Eukaryota; Viridiplantae; Streptophyta; Magnoliopsida; Poales; Poaceae
Description: misc RNA Zm00001eb180560
Source: RNAcentral